Molecule: ribosomal RNA, 497 nt
Filed under: uncultured bacterium
Lineage: Bacteria
Description: partial 16S ribosomal RNA
Rfam family: Bacterial small subunit ribosomal RNA
Source: RNAcentral
GAUGAACGCUGGCGGCGUGCCUAAUACAUGCAAGUCGAGCGAACAGACGAGGAGCUUGCUCCUCUGACGUUAGCGGCGGACGGGUGAGUAACACGUGGAUAACCUACCUAUAAGACUGGGAUAACUUCGGGAAACCGGAGCUAAUACCGGAUAAUAUAUUGAACCGCAUGGUUCAAUAGUGAAAGACGGUUUUGCUGUCACUUAUAGAUGGAUCCGCGCCGCAUUAGCUAGUUGGUAAGGUAACGGCUUACCAAGGCGACGAUGCGUAGCCGACCUGAGAGGGUGAUCGGCCACACUGGAACUGAGACACGGUCCAGACUCCUACGGGAGGCAGCAGUAGGGAAUCUUCCGCAAAAGGCGAAAGCCUGACGGAGCAACGCCGCGUGAGUGAUGAAGGUCUUCGGAUCGUAAAACUCUGUUAUUAGGGAAGAACAAAUGUGUAAGUAACUAUGCACGUCUUGACGGUACCUAAUCAGAAAGCCACGGCUAACUACGUG